UUUCAAACCAUGCCCCUUCCCUGUCAUCUUCUUCAGCACACCCAUCGUCCUCCCCUUCGUCCAAACUCACCGUCAAGUCCAGCAGCGAACACCACCAUCCAUCACUGUUGGUGCUUCGUCGUCUUCUCCAGCCACCCUUGAACCAGUCGCUUCUUCAGUUAAUUUCUGAUUCUUGUUCCGAAAAUAGAGUUUGGUUGAAGAUGUAUAGAUCACACAUGAAGAUUGAGCAACAAUCCCAUUUUAUUUUUAUUAAGGAUGGGAAGCUGCUUAUCACUUCAUAGUAGACUUCUGUUGUACAUAUAAAAUAUUUCUAGUUUCCUUCGUUUCACAAUAAGAG
RNAcentral lists this long non-coding RNA (337 nucleotides) under Nicotiana benthamiana. Its description in RNAcentral is "long non-coding RNA (NBEN_LNC004283)". Lineage: Eukaryota; Viridiplantae; Streptophyta; Magnoliopsida; Solanales; Solanaceae. The record is from RNAcentral.